This 252-nucleotide ribosomal RNA is filed under the name uncultured bacterium. RNAcentral describes it as "partial 16S ribosomal RNA". It matches the Rfam family "Bacterial small subunit ribosomal RNA", at positions 524 to 776 of the family's 1533-position model. The record is from RNAcentral.
UACGGAAGGGGCGAGCGUUGUUCGGAAUUAUUGGGCGUAAAGGGCGUGUAGGCGGCUUCGCAGGUCUGUGGUGAAAGGAUACAGCUCAACUGUAUUGAGCCGCGGAAACGGCGGAGCUUGAGGCUGGGAGGGGCUGGUGGAAUUCCCUGUGUAGCGGUGAAAUGCGUAGAGAUGGGGGAGAACACUCGUGGCGAAGGCGGCCAGCUAGACCAGUUCUGACGCUGAGACGCGAAAGCGUGGGGAGCAAACAGG